GAAAAUUGAAAUCACUCAGGCUGGAGAAUUAGAGAGAAAACCAUGACACUAUGGCAGGCCAACUUACUAGCUUUCAAGUAAGGUAACAUCUCAGACCAUCAUAGGUUUUGACAGGGGAAACUCUGAAGGACCACAGGAGUUGGAGGUUCCACGUAUCUCUAAGUAGUAACAUACGAUGGGUCCAAAACAGAAGAAAGAGAACUCAAGAUUCCCGAGCCACAGAGCUGUUGAUUGGAGGCUGACUCAGAGAAACCCUGGAUUCAGUGACAUACAGAGACAACAGGGACUUAAUCGCCUUCUGGACAAACAUAAUCUAUGCGACCUCCUCCCCAUAAGGUGCCAUAAGCAAAGUGAGCGGUUUGGAGAGAACACUGUACAUGACUUCCUGACUACAAUGGCCUGUGGCUGAUGAAGUACAGCACUUUGGUGGAAACAGGUACAGGAUCAGUAUGGGUUUUAAUUGAGGGGCUCGGCACCAAAUGACAGACUUGACACAUCCACCCCCACCAUGGAUGCUGUCCGUCCACUGUUGCACAAUGUCCUUCAGUGUCUAAUUUACAGAUCCAGCUGUAUUUCCCCUUCCACCUGCAUCCCUGAAGUUCCUCCCACCUGAAAACUUCACCUGACCCAAGAAAGCAAAGGAAAAAACCCGGAGAGCCAGCUCAUAGUCUGGUUCACUGUUUAACAGCCAGAAGCCAGAGCCUGCGUACUAGAAGUGGAUGCCCAGGAAGUACUUGUGAGCUGACUAAGAAUGUAAGAACGCCACCCACUUCAUUCAGGAAAGUGAGGCAGGAUUCCAUGGAGUAUGAAUGACUGCACAUGGAACAAGCAGGUUAUCAUUUAUAUUCAGCAAGGGACCUCCAUGAACAGGACAUUUGGGGAGCUGCUAUCAAACAUCAGAACUUCUGACACUGUGCACACAGUCUUAUAUUGUGCCUUGUCUGUUGUGAUGUCUCACUACAGUAAUGAUUAAGAUGAUGAGCACUUAUGCGUUGAUAUUGCAAUAUGUCUGCGUAAGAACUAUCGCUAAGGCAGGUUAUAUUAUUACCCUCAGUGUAUAGGUAAGGAGGUUAGACUGAUAACUUACCCAGUGUCACAUAGGUAGUAAUGGCCAAACUAGAGUUGGAACCUGUCUGCCUACUCUCCAAGCUCAGGAUUGACUUGAGCACAAGGUCAAUGGAGGACCAGCCCUGUAAGAUUUGGAAGUGCAACACAGAAGCUCCAGGAAGGAUCCCUAGCUUCAGGGGAAUUUUGAUUCUCUCAGAGAGAAUAUUGUUCUUUCAUAAUAUCAUCUGCUUUGGAAAGAGUAUUCAAUUCCACAAUGCCAACAAUGAUCGCAUAGUACCUCUGUGGAGGGCAAGACCAACAUGAGCAGCAGAAGCCCUGGAGGGCUUCCUGGAGGAGGUGACUUUAGCGACACCUUCAAAACCAUGACAACGUGCACCUGGGUCUUUCUGAGGAGGACAGUGAACACUAGGAGAGGAGGGAAGUGAAAGGAGAAGCCGGGCAUGGGUGGGACUAGGCCAGAGCCCAGUGUGGUGACCACAGGGCCUCAGCAGUGCUAGGUAGACAGUGGGGUGUCACACUGCAGAGCCCCCAGAAGCCAAACAGAGGAGGCUAACUUUGAACAGAGCGGAGAGUCACCAUGGUGGUCAUCUUGAACAGGAGGGUGUUUCUAAAAAAGGGAGGUUUGGGGGAUUGCCCUGACAGAAAAUUGGAGAUGGGGGAGGUUCUUUUAAUAUGGUGAGGACAAGGAGUGGCUGGAACUGAAGCAUGUCUAGGACAAGGGCUGUUUUGUCUCUUGCACAAAUCCUGUGUUUAGUACCUGCAGUCUGCUCGUUAAUAAAGUGUAUGCUUAAGUUAAUGACAUUCAUUUUUAACCCUGGUCUCAGGCCAAUCAUGUUCACAGCCAAGGCCAUUUCCUAACAUUCGUAACUCCCUAAAGAAUAAAAUGAAGGAAGUGUAAGAUCAUUCUUUCUGAUGCCUAUGGACAAGCUCAGUGAUGUGAAAUUCGCUUUCCCUUUGGUGGUGGGAGAUAAACAGCAAAGCAUUUAAUUACAGAGAGACCUUAAGAAUCAGGAGCCAUGGUGCUACAUGAUAAUCUCUUUGAUUCAUAAGUAAAAUAUUCUUGAUUUUUCUGCAAUUAUAAAAUUCAAAAAGUCCAAAGAACUUCAAAUGUUUAAUCCUCUGUGAGAACUGUUUUACCCACUAAAGUGUGUGGGUCUUGUUGAACUGUGAAAUCUGAAAAGUGCAUACCGUAAGAUGAACCUAGACAUUUACACCAACAAAAAUGAUUUAUCAUGUUGAAGUUAACAGCCCAAUUGCAUUUGCAGUUUGUAACAAUUUGCUCUUCAUCUUUGCACAUGACAAAUUCAAUUAACUUGUCACAAAUUGCCUAAUCAAGAAAAACUUCAUUGUCAUAAAAACUAAUAAAAAGCUCUCCCAGAGAAAUUCAUAUUUGGAUUUUAGAAAGCAAAUUAAAUACUUGGAAGCAGAGCAACUAGCCUUUUGUCAGUAUAAAAACAUGUCAGUAGGAGCCUGUUUCAAAGGUAGAAAUGCAUAAAACAGAAAAAAAGGAAAGGGAAAUUCAUAGCUCAGGAUUGAGCCAUAAGUAAUCCACAGGCUGCCUCACCAGCGCCUUGGGCAAUGGCUACAGGAAGUCACUCUGUGACUCUGAAAUGGGGGUGUAACACCACACAGGAGUGGGAGUCUCCAUUAAUAAUACAUAACUGAUUAGAAAAGGCAUGUGGAAGUGGAGAACCCGAACAUUCAUAGGUAUUAAUUCAGGACACAUGUUUAAAAAAUGAAUCUAUUAUUUAAAAACAUCUUAACUUCUCAAUAGGCUGGUAGAAAAAAAGUAGUAUUUUCUAAUAGAAAGCCAGCUGUAUGUUAAGAUGGAAGGAUG
RNAcentral lists this long non-coding RNA (2905 nucleotides) under Homo sapiens (human). RNAcentral describes it as "HSALNT0380308". Lineage: Eukaryota; Metazoa; Chordata; Mammalia; Primates; Hominidae. The record is from RNAcentral.